GCUUGUCUCAAAGAUUAAGCCAUGCAGGUCUAAGUCCAUGCCGCAUUAAGGUGAGACCGCGAAUGGCUCAUUAUAUCAGUUAUGGUUCCUUAGAUCUUCGGUUACACUUGGAUAACCCUGGUAAUUCUAGAGCUAAUACAUGCAUCCCAACACCGACCCUCGGGAAGGUGUGUUUUUAUUAGCCCAAAACCAAUCGUCUCUCCUCGUGGGUGACGUCAACUUGGUGAACUCAGAAUAACUUUGUUCGGAUCGCAUGGCCUUUGUGCCGGCGACGCAUCUUUCAAAUGUCUGCCUUAUCAACUUGUUGGUUGGUUAAAUGCCAACCAAGGUGUUAACGGGUGACGGAGAAUCAGGGUUCGAUACCGGAGAGGGAGCCUGAGAAACGGCUACCACAUCCAAGGAAGGCAGCAGG
RNAcentral lists this ribosomal RNA (412 nucleotides) under Leptocythere lacertosa. RNAcentral describes it as "partial small subunit ribosomal RNA". It matches the Rfam family "Eukaryotic small subunit ribosomal RNA", at positions 30 to 432 of the family's 1831-position model. Lineage: Eukaryota; Metazoa; Arthropoda; Ostracoda; Podocopida; Leptocytheridae. The record is from RNAcentral.